RNAcentral lists this ribosomal RNA (253 nucleotides) under uncultured bacterium. RNAcentral's name for it is "partial 16S ribosomal RNA". It matches the Rfam family "Bacterial small subunit ribosomal RNA", at positions 524 to 776 of the family's 1533-position model. The record is from RNAcentral.
GACAGAGGGUGCAAACGUUGCUCGGAAUUACUGGGCGUAAAGCGCGUGUAGGCGGACGUGUAAGUCAGGUGUGAAAUCCCCGGGCUCAACCCGGGAACUGCACUUGAAACUGCGCGUCUUGAGUGCUGGAGAGGGUAGUGGAAUUCCUGGUGUAGAGGUGAAAUUCGUAGAUAUCAGGAGGAACACCGGUGGCGAAGGCGGCUACCUGGACAGUUACUGACGCUGAGACGCGAAAGCGUGGGGAGCAAACAGG